UAACGGCGAGUGAAGCGGCAACAGCUCACAUUUGAAAUCUGGCCCUAGCGGUCCGAGUUGUAAUGUGUAGAGGAUGCGAUUGGCGCGGUGCCUUCCGAGUUCCCUGGAACGGGACGCCUUAGAGGGUGAGAGCCCCGUACGGUUGGACACCAAGCCUCUGUAAAGCUCCUUCGACGAGUCGAGUAGUUUGGGAAUGCUGCUCUAAAUGGGAGGUAAACUUCUUCUAAAGCUAAAUACCGGCCAGAGACCGAUAGCGCACAAGUAGAGUGAUCGAAAGAUGAAAAGCACUUUGAGUAGAGGGUUAAAUAGCACGUGAAAUUGUUGAAAGGGAAGCGUUUACGACCAGACCUGAUCCUGGCGGAUCAUCCGGCGUUCUCGCCGGUGCACUUCGUCAGGCUUAGGCCAGCAUCGGUUUCCGCGGGGGGAUAAAAGUAGGGGGAAAGUAGCUCUCUUCGGGGAGUGUUAUAGCCCCCUACAUAAUACCUUCGUGGGGACCGAGGACCGCGCAUGGCAAGGAUGCUGGCGUAAUGGUCGUCAACGACCCGUCUUGAGCCACGGACCRAGGAGUCCAACAUUUAUGCGAU
RNAcentral lists this ribosomal RNA (584 nucleotides) under Alloanthostomella rubicola. Its description in RNAcentral is "eukaryotic LSU rRNA". It matches the Rfam family "Eukaryotic large subunit ribosomal RNA", at positions 84 to 690 of the family's 3401-position model. The record is from RNAcentral. Lineage: Eukaryota; Fungi; Ascomycota; Sordariomycetes; Xylariales.